Molecule: ribosomal RNA, 484 nt
Filed under: uncultured bacterium
Lineage: Bacteria
Description: partial 16S ribosomal RNA
Rfam family: Bacterial small subunit ribosomal RNA
Source: RNAcentral
AUUGAACGCUGGCGGCAGGCCUAACACAUGCAAGUCGAGCGGAUGAAGGGAGCUUGCUCCUGGAUUCAGCGGCGGACGGGUGAGUAAUGCCUAGGAAUCUGCCUGGUAGUGGGGGAUAACGUCCGGAAGCGGGCGCUAAUACCGCAUACGUCCUGAGGGAGAAAGUGGGGGAUCUUCGGACCUCACGCUAUCAGAUGAGCCUAGGUCGGAUUAGCUAGUUGGUGGGGUAAAGGCCUACCAAGGCGACGAUCCGUAACUGGUCUGAGAGGAUGAUCAGGCACACUGGAACUUAGACACGGUCCAGACUCCUACGGGAGGCAGCAGUGGGGAAUAUUGGACAAUGGGCGAAAGCCUUAUCCAGCCAUGCCGCGUGUGUGAAGAAGGUCUUCGGAUUGUAAAGCACUUUAAGUUGGGAGGAAGGGCAGUAAGUUAAUACCUUGCUGUUUUGACGUUACCAACAGAAUAAGCACCGGCUAACUUCGUG